RNAcentral lists this long non-coding RNA (557 nucleotides) under Pan troglodytes (chimpanzee). RNAcentral's name for it is "long non-coding RNA NONPTRT008008". The record is from RNAcentral. Lineage: Eukaryota; Metazoa; Chordata; Mammalia; Primates; Hominidae.
UUGGGCCCAGUCAGUGGGGACCUGCACAAACCCAGGCCCAGGGGAUGCCCAAUGCUGUGAGGAGGCUCAGACAGCAGGAAGGAGAGAAGGAAGGAAGGAACUUCCAUAGUGCUGAUGCCUACAAAAUUACAACACGUGGUGCUGUUUCUACUCCAUCGCCAUGUUCGCUCUUUAUUUCCUAUGUAAUUCUCUAUUCAACCGGCCUCAGUUGAGCACAAAACCAUCCUUGUACCACCAUGAAUAGUUGGCCAUGGCUCUUUGAUAGCAGUUUUUAUUCUGCCGUAGAAAUUAUCCUUGAACCAGAAAAAAAAAAUCCGCAAUUCAACACUCCACCUUUGUGAAGAGCUGGUUCCGAAUUCUGGGUCACUUUUUGGAAAAAAUAUCUGUUGUGGUAAACAGUGCUGCAUCUGUGAUCUCAAGUCUCUACUGGAAUUGGAUAGAGAUGGUGAAUUUCAGCCAGAGCGCCCAAAGAACUCGUGUCCCGUGCUCCUGAAUGCCAUCAGCCGCCGCACCUCCAUCUUCCCUCCUCCCACGAGUCUCCUGCUCCCCGUGACUCU